RNAcentral lists this ribosomal RNA (407 nucleotides) under uncultured bacterium. RNAcentral describes it as "partial 16S ribosomal RNA". It matches the Rfam family "Bacterial small subunit ribosomal RNA", at positions 30 to 526 of the family's 1533-position model. The record is from RNAcentral.
AUUGAACGCUGGCGGCAGGCCUCACACAUGCAAGUCGAGCGGAGCGGCGGACGGGUGAGUACUGCCUAGGAAUCUGCCUGGUCGUGGGGGCUAACGUCCGGCAACGGGCGCUAAUACCGCAUACUAUCAGAUGACCCUCGGUCGGAUUAGCUAGUUCGUGGGGUAAAGGCCUACCAAGGCGACGAUCCGUAACUGGCCUGAGAGGAUGAUCAGUCACGCUGGAACUGAGACACGGUCCAGACGCCUACGGUAGGCAGCAGUGGGGAAUAUUGGACAAUGGGCGAAAGCCUGAUCCAGCCAUGCCGCGUGUGUGAAGAAGGUCUUCGGAUUGUAAAACACUUUAAGUUGGGAGGCGUUACCAACAGAAUAAGCACCGGCUAACUUCGUGCCAGCAGCCGCGGUAAUUC